UACGGGGGGGGUAAGCGUUGUUCGGAAUUACUGGGCGUAAAGGGCUCGUAGGCGGCCAACUAAGUCAUACGUGAAAUCCCUCAGCUUAACUGGGGAACUGCGUGUGAUACUGGAUGGCUUGGAUUUGGGAGAGGGAUGCGGAAUUCCAGGUGUAGCGGUGAAAUGCGUAGAUAUCGAGAGGAACACCUGCGGCGAAGGCGGGUUGCUGGGCUGACACUGACGCUGAUGCGCGAAAGCGUGGGUAGCAAACAGG
This 253-nucleotide ribosomal RNA is filed under the name uncultured bacterium. Its description in RNAcentral is "partial 16S ribosomal RNA". It matches the Rfam family "Bacterial small subunit ribosomal RNA", at positions 524 to 776 of the family's 1533-position model. The record is from RNAcentral.